This 250-nucleotide unclassified non-coding RNA is filed under the name Hevea brasiliensis (rubber tree). Lineage: Eukaryota; Viridiplantae; Streptophyta; Magnoliopsida; Malpighiales; Euphorbiaceae. The record is from RNAcentral.
GGACGGAAAUGGCACAAUCGACUUCCCCGAGUUCCUGACUAUGAUGGCGCGCAAGAUGCGCGACACGGACUCUGAGGAGGAGAUCAAGGAGGCGUUCAAGGUCUUCGAUAAGGAUGGCAACGGGUACAUCUCCGCCGCUGAGCUCCGGCAUGUCAUGACCAACCUCGGCGAGAAGCUUUCGGACAGCGAGGUCGACGAGAUGAUUCGCGAAGCUGAUGUCGACGGUGAUGGUCAGAUCAACUACGAGGAG